Molecule: small nucleolar RNA, 72 nt
Organism: Calidris pygmaea (Spoon-billed sandpiper)
Lineage: Eukaryota; Metazoa; Chordata; Aves; Charadriiformes; Scolopacidae
Source: Ensembl
CUUCUGGUGAUGAGACCUUUGUCCAGUUCUGCUACUGAAUUUAAACGAUGACAGUUUGGAGAUCUGAAGAGG